CUAAAAUUAUGUUAUAAUUUGAACCUUAUUUCAAACAUCCGUCAAGUGGAGUCAAAUAAAAAUAUCUAGUUGCACAGAUAAUAUUCUUAAAUUUAAGUUUGAUAAUGUUUCACUCUACUAUUAAAACUAACUGCUUAAUAUUGGUCCCGCUGAAUGUAAAUUUGCCAUGUCUUGUAUUUCUGUAUGAUGAAGACGGCACCGUGAUGUUUGCUUAAUACUUGUAUUCGCUGUUUCAGUCCAAUUACCAGAUAACAUACAAAAACAAUGCUUACGUAGAGUAAGUAAAACUAGCUUAAUUUUGAUUUUAGAGUAAAAGUAGUUAUCUGUUAUAAAAUGUAUAGAGAACAAUAUUUUGGAGGGAAUGUCAUAGGUGCUUUUAAUUAUGAACCAUUGAAAAAGUAACAAUUACAUAUUUAAAAAAGAAAAUUUAAAGGUUUUUGUAUAUUUUAUAUCGAGCUAUAUUUUUUGAAUACUACAAAAACCCUAUAACAAAUAUUGUUCUCUAUACAUUUCAUAAUAGGUACUCUAAAAUUAUAAUUAAUCUAGUUUCACUUAUUCUGUAAGCAUUGUUUUUGCAUGUUAAUCGGUGGUUGGAUUGAGACAGUAAUUGCAGGUAUAAUUUCUUCUAAAGAGGACAUGUUUUGACUGUAGAGACAGUUUUACAUGGGCAAAAACUACUUGAGCAGUCUUGUGAAAUUAAGAAACCAAAUUUAAGUCUAAGUUUUUACCACAAGUAAAAAACAAUUAUUAUUGUUCUACGAUCUAAAAUAUAUUUUAAAGUUUUUCAAACUCUAUAGUAACUAUGAACAUUUUAUUUCUUCAUUAUGCGGGUACCUAUAUAACCCGAGUAGGUUUUUAUACACACAAAAUACGGUUUAAAAAAAUAAACAUUUUUGUUAAUUUCAAGAGUACACAAUAAAUACUUGUGAUAAUGACCUGUGACUACUUUAUG
Cinara cedri is the source of this 952-nucleotide non-coding RNA. The record is from the annotation of a GenBank genome assembly. NCBI's taxonomy places the organism in Eukaryota, Metazoa, Arthropoda, Insecta, Hemiptera, Aphididae.